This 489-nucleotide ribosomal RNA is filed under the name uncultured bacterium. RNAcentral describes it as "partial 16S ribosomal RNA". It matches the Rfam family "Bacterial small subunit ribosomal RNA", at positions 30 to 506 of the family's 1533-position model. The record is from RNAcentral.
AUUGAACGCUGGCGGCAGGCCUAACACAUGCAAGUCGAACGGUAACAGGAAACAGCUUGCUGUUUCGCUGACGAGUGGCGGACGGGUGAGUAAUGUCUGGGAAACUGCCUGAUGGAGGGGGAUAACUACUGGAAACGGUAGCUAAUACCGCAUAACGUCGCAAGACCAAAGAGGGGGACCCUCGGGCCUCUUGCCAUCGGAUGUGCCCAGAUGGGAUUAGCUUGUUGGUGGGGUAACGGCUCACCAAGGCGACGAUCCCUAGCUGGUCUGAGAGGAUGACCAGCCACACUGGAACUGAGACACGGUCCAGACUCCUACGGGAGGCAGCAGUGGGGAAUAUUGCACAAUGGGCGCAAGCCUGGUGCAGCCAUGCCGCGUGUAUGAAGAAGGCCUUCGGGUUGUAAAGUACUUUCAGCGGGGAGGAAGGGAGUAAAGUUAAUACCUUUGCUCAUUGACGUUACCCGCAGAAGAAGCACCGGCUAACUCCGU